Molecule: long non-coding RNA, 353 nt
Organism: Triticum dicoccoides
Lineage: Eukaryota; Viridiplantae; Streptophyta; Magnoliopsida; Poales; Poaceae
Exons: 3
Source: RefSeq, a predicted model, not a curated record
UCUCCGCUGCCACAGUAAGGAGACACCUGUGCAUGUUCGAGGACAUGGAACAUGAUUUCUUUGACAUUGUAAUAAGAAGAUUCAAACAAUAUGACGAGGAAAGGACAAAAGAACCUCACUCUUCCAUUGUGAAACACUUUAUGGAAUCAGACGUUGCGACAUGCAUAAUGGCUCAGCAUUCAACAUCAGCGUAUUUAGCAGUAAGGGAACAGUUCAUCGGACCACAUGUAAAACACGACCUGCCGAAUUGCAACUUGAUGCUACUUCCAGGGAAGGUCAAUUUCACAUGGGUGUGCUACGCUUUUGAAUUUAACAAGUCAAGGAUAACUGUAUUUGACCCAACAAUAUCCAUG